This 465-nucleotide ribosomal RNA is filed under the name Vreelandella stevensii. RNAcentral describes it as "partial 16S ribosomal RNA". It matches the Rfam family "Bacterial small subunit ribosomal RNA", at positions 338 to 795 of the family's 1533-position model. Lineage: Bacteria; Pseudomonadati; Pseudomonadota; Gammaproteobacteria; Oceanospirillales; Halomonadaceae. The record is from RNAcentral.
CCUACGGGGGGCAGCAGUGGGGAAUAUUGGACAAUGGGGGGAACCCUGAUCCAGCCAUGCCGCGUGUGUGAAGAAGGCCCUCGGGUUGUAAAGCACUUUCAGUGAGGAAGAACGCCUGGUGGUUAAUACCCAUCAGGAAAGACAUCACUCACAGAAGAAGCACCGGCUAACUCCGUGCCAGCAGCCGCGGUAAUACGGAGGGUGCGAGCGUUAAUCGGAAUUACUGGGCGUAAAGCGCGCGUAGGUGGCUUGAUAAGCCGGUUGUGAAAGCCCCGGGCUCAACCUGGGAACGGCAUCCGGAACUGUCAAGCUAGAGUGCAGGAGAGGAAGGUAGAAUUCCCGGUGUAGCGGUGAAAUGCGUAGAGAUCGGGAGGAAUACCAGUGGCGAAGGCGGCCUUCUGGACUGACACUGACACUGAGGUGCGAAAGCGUGGGUAGCAAACAGGAUUAGAUAGCCGGGUAGUC